UACCAUGCAAGUCGAACGCGUCGGAGGUACUUCGGUGUUUUCGGCGAGUGGCGCACGGGUGAGUAACGCGUAGGCAACCUGCCUUUGAGUGGGGAAUAACCCCGGGAAACCGGGGCUAAUACCGCAUGAUAUCCGGGUCUGCAUGGAUUCCGGAUUAAAGUCUUCGGGCGCUCAGAGAUGGGCCUGCGUUGGAUUAGCUAGUUGGUGAGGUAACGGCUCACCAAGGCUGCGAUCCAUAGCUGGUCUGAGAGGAUGAUCAGCCACACUGGCACUGAGACACGGGCCAGACUCCUACGGGAGGCAGCAGUGAGGAAUAUUGCGCAAUGGACGAAAGUCUGACGCAGCCACGCCGCGUGCAGGAUGACACCCCUACGGGGCGUAAACUGCUUUUUUGCGGGAAGAACAUUUCCGACGUGUCGGAAGCUGACGGUACCGCAAGAAUAAGGACCGGCUAACUCCGUGCCAGCAGCAGCGCGUAUACGGAGGGUCCAAGCGUUGUCCGGAUUCAUUGGGUGUAAAGGGUGCGUAGGCGGGCCUGUUAGUCAGGGGUGAAAUCCUGCGGCUUAACCGUAGAACUGCCUCUGAUACUGCAGGUCUUGAGUCCUGGAGAGGUCGCCGGAAUUCGUGGUGUAGCGGUGAAAUGCGUAGAUACCACGAGGAACGCCGGGGGUGUAGACGGGUGACUGGACGGGUACUGACGCUGAGGCACGAAAGCGUGGGGAGCAAACAGGAUUAGAUACCCUGGUAAGUCCACGCUGUAAACGAAGGAUAACUCGGUGUUGGUCUGAUUUAAUCGGAGCAACGCGCUAAAGCAAACCGCAUUAAGGAUCCCACACUGGGGAGUGACGAUCGCAAGGUUGGAACUCAAAGGAAUUGGCGGGGGCCCGCACAAGCGGUGGAGCAUGUGGCUUAAUUCGAUGCAACGCGAGGAACCUUACCUAGGCUCGAACGCUACUGGACAGUCCCGGAAACGGGAUCUUCUUCGGACUGGUAGUGAGGUGCUGCAUGGCUGUCGUCAGUUCGUGUCGUGAGAUGUUGGGUUAAGUCCCGCAACGAACGCAACCCCUAUCGCUAGUUACCAGCGGGUAAUGCCGGGGACUCUAGCGAGACUGCCCGCGCAAGCGGUGAGGAAGGUGGGGAUGACGUCAAGUCAUCAUGGCCUUUAUGCCUAGGGCUGCACACGUGCUACAAUGGGCGGUACAAUGGGUUGCCACUCCGCGAGGAGGAGCGAAUCCCAAAAGCCGUUCUCAGUUCGGAUCGAAGUCUGCAACUCGACUUCGUGAAGCCGGAAUCGCUAGUAAUCGCGUAUCAGCAACGACGCGGUGAAUACGUUCCCGGGCCUUGUACACACCGCCCGUCAAGCCAUGGAAGCUGGGGGCGCCCGAAGUCCGUGACCCAACCUUUGGGAGGAGCGGCCGAAGUA
Molecule: ribosomal RNA, 1423 nt
Filed under: uncultured Rubrivirga sp.
Lineage: Bacteria; Pseudomonadati; Rhodothermota; Rhodothermia; Rhodothermales; Rubricoccaceae
Description: bacterial SSU rRNA
Rfam family: Bacterial small subunit ribosomal RNA
Source: RNAcentral